UAAAAUAAUUAAGGGCACACAAAGGAUGCCUAGGUAGUAAGAGCCGAUGAAGGACGUGGUAAGCUGCGAUAAGCCUAGAUAAGUUGCAAUCGAACGUAAGAGUCUAGGAUUUCCGAAUGGAGCAAUCUAUUAAGAUGGAGUCUUAAUACGAAAGAGGGAACCGCGUGAACUGAAACAUCUAAGUAACGCGAGGAAAAGAAAGUAAAAACGAUACCCAAAGUAGCGGCGAGCGAAAUGGGUCAAGCCUAAACCUUAAAUAUGUCAAGGAUACAGCCGUUGUAUUUAGGGGGUUGAGGGACAGAGUAGUGAAGAACUGUAAGAUAUUCAAUAUAGUGUAUUGAUGAAUUGGAAUUGUCUGGAAAGGCGAACCGUAGAAGGUGAAAGUCCUGUACAAGUAAAUCCUUACACAUAUAACUCUGCUCCCAAGUAACAUGGAACACGAGGAAUUCUGUGUGAAUCUGUGAGGACCAUAUCUCAUAAGGCUAAAUACUCUUACUAACCGAUAGCGCAUAGUACCGUGAGGGAAAGGUGAAAAGAACCCCUGGAGGGGAGUGAAAUAGAACCUGAAAUUGUGUGCUUACAAGCGGUCAGAGCCAGCAAUGGUGAUGGCGUGCCUUUUGGAGAAUGAUCCUGCGAGUUACGUUAAACGGCGAGGUUAAGUAUAACGGAGCCGAAGGGAAACCAAGUCUUAAUAGGGCGAUUUAGUCGUUUGGCGUAGACGCGAAACCUGGUGAUCUAAACCUGUCCAGGAUGAAGCUGUGGUAAGACACAGUGGAGGUCCUAACCCACCGCCGUUGAAAAGUUGGGGGAUGAGGUAGGUUUAGGGGUGAAAAGCCAAUCGAACCAGGAGAUAGCUCGUUCUCUCCGAAAUGCAUCUAGGUGCAGCCUUGAGUGUUCAAUUAUGGGGGUAGAGCACUGAAUGAUCUAGGGGGCGUAUUGCUUACUGAAAUCAAUCAAACUCCGAAUACCAUAAUUUAGAGCUCAGGAGUGAGACUAUGGGAGUUAACUUCCAUUGUCGAAAGGGAAACAACCCAGACCACCAGCUAAGGUCCCUAAUUAUAACUAAGUGGGAAAGGAGGUGGAGAUUCACAAACAACUAGGAGGUUGGCUUAGAAGCAGCCAUACCUUUAAAGAGUGCGUAAUAGCUCACUAGUCGAGAGUCUCUGCGCCGACAAUGUAACGGGGCUAAGUUAUAAACCGAAGCUGUGGAAUCCGUAAGGAUUGGUAGGAGAGCGUUCUGUAGGCCGUUGAAGGAGAAGGGUAACCGACUCUGGAGGUAUCAGAAGUGAGAAUGCAGGAAUAAGUAGCGAGAAAGGGGGCGAGAAUCCCCCUCGCCGGAAGACCAAGGUUUUCAGGGUAAAGCUUGUCUUCCCUGAGUAAGCCGGGACCUAAGCCCAGGCUAUAAUGCGUAGGCGAAUGGAAAACAGAUUAAUAUUUCUGUGCCAGUCAUAUAUUGUGAUGGAGGGACGCAGAAGGGUAUGCGCGCGGACGAACGGAAGUGUCCGUAGAAGUAUGUAGGAUGACUUGAUAGGAAAAUCCAUUGAGUUAUAUCUGAGGUAUGAUAUACAGUCGUAAGAUGAAUGCGCAAAUCCCACGCUGCCAAGAAAAGCUUCUAACGUUAAUAUUUGACUGCCCGUACUGCAAACCGACACAGGUGGUCAGGAUGAGAAAUCUAAGGCGGACAGGCUAACUCUCGUUAAGGAACUCUGCAAAAUAACCUCGUAACUUCGGGAGAAGAGGAGCCCUUGAGGGUCAGUAUCCACGCGAUACAAAGCGCUCGAGGGUCGCAGUGAAGAGGCUCAAGCAACUGUUUAACAAAAACACAGGUCUAUGCUAAGCUGGAAGGCGAUGUAUAUGGGCUGACACCUGCCCAGUGCUGGAAGGUUAAGAGGAGGAGUGAGAGCUCCGAAUUGAAGCCCCAGUGAACGGCGGCCGUAACUAUAACGGUCCUAAGGUAGCGAAAUUCCUUGUC
RNAcentral lists this ribosomal RNA (1972 nucleotides) under human metagenome. Its description in RNAcentral is "bacterial LSU rRNA". It matches the Rfam family "Bacterial large subunit ribosomal RNA", at positions 1 to 1973 of the family's 2925-position model. The record is from RNAcentral.